AGUCAAUAGAUACCCGGGUAGUCCACGCCGUAAACGAUGAGUACUAGGUGUAGGAGGUAUCGACUCCUUCUGUGCCGCAGUUAAACACAAUAAGUACUCCGCCUGGGAAGUACGGUCGCAAGAUUAAAAACUCAAAGGAAUUGACGGGGGCCCGCACAAGCAGCGGAGCAUGUGGUUUAAUUCGAAGCAACGCGAAGAACCUUACCUAGACUUGACAUCUCCUGAAUAGCGUAGAGAUACGUGAAGCCCUUCGGGGCAGGAAGACAGGUGGUGCAUGGUUGUCGUCAGCUCGUGUCGUGAGAUGUUGGGUUAAGUCCCGCAACGAGCGCAACCCUUAUCAUUAGUUGCUACCAUUAAGUUGAGCACUCUAGUGAGACUGCCCGGGUUAACCGGGAGGAAGGCGGGGAUGACGUCAAAUCAUCAUGCCCCUUAUGUCUA
RNAcentral lists this ribosomal RNA (438 nucleotides) under uncultured bacterium. RNAcentral's name for it is "bacterial SSU rRNA". It matches the Rfam family "Bacterial small subunit ribosomal RNA", at positions 775 to 1210 of the family's 1533-position model. The record is from RNAcentral.